RNAcentral lists this ribosomal RNA (568 nucleotides) under uncultured Pezizomycotina. RNAcentral's name for it is "eukaryotic LSU rRNA". The stretch from base 209 to 363 matches the Rfam family "5.8S ribosomal RNA". Lineage: Eukaryota; Fungi; Ascomycota. The record is from RNAcentral.
ACAAGGUCUCCGUAGGUGAACCUGCGGAGGGAUCAUUACCGAGUUCAUGCCCUUACGGGUAGACCUCCCACCCUAUGUUAUCAUUACCUUUGUUGCUUUGGCGGGCCGCCAGGCUUCGGUCAGGCUAUCGGCUUCGGGUGGUAAGCGCCCGCCAGAGGACCCCAACAUCCUGAUUAUUAGUGUCGUCUGAGUACUAUGCAAUAGUUAAAACUUUCAACAACGGAUCUCUUGGUUCUGGCAUCGAUGAAGAACGCAGCGAAAUGCGAUAAGUAAUGUGAAUUGCAGAAUUCUAGUGAGUCAUCGAAUCUUUGAACGCACAUUGCGCCCUUUGGUAUUCCGAAGGGCAUGCCUGUUCGAGCGUCAUUAUCACCCCUCAAGCCCCGUGCUUGGUGUUGGACGGCUUGGUCGCGUCACCGCGACUCCUCCUAAAGACAAUGACGGCGGCCUGUGGUUCCCCCGGUACACUGAGCUUUUAAUUGAGCACGUAUUGGAUAAGGGCACCCGGGACCCGGUCUUCUCCCUUUAACCGGGAAAUUUUUCAAUGGUGACCUCGGAUCAGGUAGGAAUA